Molecule: long non-coding RNA, 339 nt
Filed under: Vigna radiata
Lineage: Eukaryota; Viridiplantae; Streptophyta; Magnoliopsida; Fabales; Fabaceae
Description: long non-coding RNA (VRAD_LNC006045)
Source: RNAcentral
ACCAUUAUGCACAAUUUUUAACUAAAAGGGGGACCAAAAUGAACAAUUUUAAACAAAAGUAAGGACCAAAAAUCACAACUUAAAACGAAACUGAGGACUAUUACGAAUUUCAUUCAACUAACCCAGAUGGUUCAAGUUAUAUUACAAUACCAGCUCAUAAUACACAAACACCACAUUGAUUCAAGAUUGCCCACGUAACAUCAACCUAAGGGCACUCAAAACAUUACAACAUGAACUCAAAAUACAUGAACACAACAUAAAUUAGACAUUGGUCACCUAACAUCAACCUAAAAACAGCCCCAAUAUGAUGAUGUUAAGCACAAUAACAACAACCCCAAC